GGUUGUGUAGUGUAGUGGUUAUCACUCCGGAUUUUGAUAUGACUCAUCAGCACUUCCGGCAACUGCGGUUCGAAUCCGCGCACGACCU
This is a non-coding RNA of Coniella lustricola, 88 nucleotides long. The record is from the annotation of a GenBank genome assembly. Lineage: Eukaryota; Fungi; Ascomycota; Sordariomycetes; Diaporthales; Schizoparmaceae.